This is a long non-coding RNA of Vombatus ursinus (common wombat), 373 nucleotides long. RefSeq lists it as uncharacterized. The record is from RefSeq and is a predicted model, not a curated record. Lineage: Eukaryota; Metazoa; Chordata; Mammalia; Diprotodontia; Vombatidae. The transcript is spliced from 3 exons.
AUUUGUGAAUGAAGCAAUGGAAAAGAAAAUGGAAAGAAUUCUGGCCUGGGAUUCCUGGCUAACUCCCAGUGUGACCUUGGAUUCUGUUUUGUUGAAGGCUAUGACAUCUCAUCUCAAGAGGUGGGGAUGGAGCCUGUGGGUUGAAGUUCCAGGUUCCUCCCUCUCCCUAAGCUGGAAGGGCCAAGAAGGCAAGCAAGAGUGAGUGAGGACCCUCUUCCCUGAUCCUGGCACAGAACAAAAGUUCAGAAGCCCAAUUCAGAAGCUCACAGUUGCAGGAACUCAAUCUGGACUGAGAAGGGUUUUUUCUAUCCCUGGAGGAUCAGAUGGGGAGGAAGAGAAUAAGCAUUUAUAUGGUGCCUACUGUGUGCCAGGA